RNAcentral lists this ribosomal RNA (542 nucleotides) under uncultured bacterium. RNAcentral describes it as "partial 16S ribosomal RNA". It matches the Rfam family "Bacterial small subunit ribosomal RNA", at positions 355 to 889 of the family's 1533-position model. The record is from RNAcentral.
UGGGGAAUUUUGGACAAUGGGCGAAAGCCUGAUCCAGCAAUGCCGCGUGUGUGAAGAAGGCCUUCGGGUUGUAAAGCACUUUUGUCCGGAAAGAAAUCCUUGGCUCUAAUACAGUCGGGGGAUGACGGUACCGGAAGAAUAAGCACCGGCUAACUACGUGCCAGCAGCCGCGGUAAUACGUAGGGUGCAAGCGUUAAUCGGAAUUACUGGGCGUAAAGCGUGCGCAGGCGGUUUGCUAAGACCGAUGUGAAAUCCCCGGGCUCAACCUGGGAACUGCAUUGGUGACUGGCAGGCUAGAGUAUGGCAGAGGGGGGUAGAAUUCCACGUGUAGCAGUGAAAUGCGUAGAGAUGUGGAGGAAUACCGAUGGCGAAGGCAGCCCCCUGGGCCAAUACUGACGCUCAUGCACGAAAGCGUGGGGAGCAAACAGGAUUAGAUACCCUGGUAGUCCACGCCCUAAACGAUGUCAACUAGUUGUUGGGGACUUCAUUUCCUUAGUAACGUAGCUAACGCGUGAAGUUGACCGCCUGGGGAGUACGGUCGC